UGAACUGAAGCUCUGCGAAGCUUUUAGCUGUUAACUAAAAAGGAAUAAUAAAUUUAUCUGUUCA
This 64-nucleotide transfer RNA is filed under the name Chaetopleura apiculata. RNAcentral describes it as "tRNA-Asn". The record is from RNAcentral. Lineage: Eukaryota; Metazoa; Mollusca; Polyplacophora; Chitonida; Chaetopleuridae.